Molecule: small RNA, 129 nt
Filed under: Salmonella enterica
Lineage: Bacteria; Pseudomonadati; Pseudomonadota; Gammaproteobacteria; Enterobacterales; Enterobacteriaceae
Also listed under: 2 other names
Description: RtT sRNA
Rfam family: RtT RNA
About the family: This family represents a bacterial cis-regulatory element known as RtT RNA. The exact function of RtT is unknown although it is thought that it may be involved in changing the cellular response in relation to amino acid starvation.
Source: RNAcentral
UCUCUCUGUACGGGAAGGAUGAGAAGCUUCGACUAAGGUUCGAUUCGAGCGAAAGCGAGAAAGCGUUGCCAACGGCAACGACCCGAAGGGCGAAGCGCGCAGCGCUGAGUAAUCCUUCCCCCACCACCA